This 228-nucleotide ribosomal RNA is filed under the name uncultured eukaryote. Its description in RNAcentral is "partial 18S ribosomal RNA". It matches the Rfam family "Eukaryotic small subunit ribosomal RNA", at positions 1208 to 1456 of the family's 1831-position model. The record is from RNAcentral.
UGAAAUCUCACCAGGCCCGGACACUGGAAGGAUUGACAGAUUGAUAGCUCUUUCUUGAUUCGGUGCGUGGUGGUGCAUGGCCGUUCUUAGUUGGUUGAGUGAUUUGUCUGGUUAAUUCCGUUAACGAACGAGACCUUAACCUGCUAAAUAGUGACGCGGUUCAUCGAACCGUGGGCCACUUCUUAGAGGGACUAUCGGAUUCAAACCGAUGGAAGUGUGAGGCAAUAA